GGAUUAGCGGCGGACGGGUGAGUAACGCGUGGGUAACCUGCCUCAUACACAUGGAUAACAUACCGAAAGGUAUGCUAAUACAAGAUGAUAUAAGAGAUUCGCAUGGAUUUCUUAUCAAAGCUUUUGCGGUAUGAGAUGGACCCGCGUCUGAUUAGCUAGUUGGUAAGGUAAUGGCUUACCAAGGCGACGAUCAGUAGCCGACCUGAGAGGGUGAUCGGCCACAUUGGAACUGAGACACGGUCCAAACUCC
Molecule: ribosomal RNA, 250 nt
Filed under: uncultured Peptostreptococcaceae bacterium
Lineage: Bacteria; Bacillati; Bacillota; Clostridia; Peptostreptococcales; Peptostreptococcaceae
Description: partial 16S ribosomal RNA
Rfam family: Bacterial small subunit ribosomal RNA
Source: RNAcentral